Molecule: long non-coding RNA, 849 nt
Filed under: Homo sapiens (human)
Lineage: Eukaryota; Metazoa; Chordata; Mammalia; Primates; Hominidae
Description: HSALNT0313719
Source: RNAcentral
CUCCCUCGCUGAAAGUCUGAAGGGAGCCGGCUUACGUUUCUGCUCCGCUUGCCUAGUGAGUCUUGAGCUGGCUUGAGGAGUCUCACUAGAAAGCAGAGAAUCCCUGGGAUAACAAGCAAGACAGACGCAUAGUACAGCUGGGAUGAAGUGCUGGUAAGGGCACCUGUGUAGAGCCUGUUGCCUCAACAAUGUCCAGGACAAAAAGCACCUGUUUCUUCAUCCUAAAUGAAGCAGGAGGAUCACUUACCCUGGCUGUUUCCCAGAAUGAUCAUUAAGAGAGUUGUGAAAGCACUUUGAAGCAAUUUAAAAGCUAACUCACUGCAAAACUGAAGGUGGUUGAUGCUAUUCUAGACCUGAAUAUGAAGCAAUACCAGGAAAACAGAGAACUAAGAAUAGAUCACAGAGAGCAUCUAGAAGGCCUCAGGAAGUCCCUGCACUGAUGUGGCAGUUCUGUUGUUACAUUAACUAAGAAAAAAAUCAACACAGAUGCCAAAGAAAGUAGAGUAUAUUUGGGAAAAAAAGAAUUGCAAUUCAGGUACACUGAAUUAGGGCAACACUAAAUAGUGUCCUUUAAGGCAAGUUCAGGUUUUUAAUAGGAGAUUUCUUGAAAAAGUUGUUUUGAGGGGCAAUUCACUGGCUGGACAGAAAUCCUAAAUUGCAGAGCUGUUCUGAAUUGUUAGUUAAUUAGGGUACUCCCAGCUGAGAGAUGUUGAAGUCCAGUGGAUUCUGACUUAAGGUGUUAUCCAAGUCUGUUGGAACCUUCUGUGGCUUAACAUUUAGCAGGUAUGAGUGCAGUCCUCUCUUGAUCUUCCAAUUCCACUUUAAUGCCUAGGCCUAAAUUACUUUAUG